Molecule: long non-coding RNA, 219 nt
Filed under: Mytilus galloprovincialis (Mediterranean mussel)
Lineage: Eukaryota; Metazoa; Mollusca; Bivalvia; Mytilida; Mytilidae
Source: RNAcentral
GUUCAUACUAAAUAAAUAAGCAUAUUCCUAAAAUAUUAAAGGUUUAUUCGUCUAGAUGAGUGAGUUAUUAAUUUUUUUACUCUCAAUUCUCGGGAAGACGCCAUCUUGAAAACUAAUGACCACAGAUAUCUAAUUACCACAAAGUCCUAGUACCCAGCAUGACAUGUCCGUUAAUCAGUGUUAAAAUGACUUGUCAAGCUGAUGAAUGUUCUACCCGAC